UACGUAGGGUGCAAGCGUUAAUCGGAAUUACUGGGCGUAAAGCGUGCGCAGGCGGUUAUGUAAGUCAGGUGUGAAAUCCCCGGGCUUAGCCUGGGAACUGCAUUUGUGACUGCAUAGCUAGAGUACGGCAGAGGGGGAUGGAAUUCCGCGUGUAGCAGUGAAAUGCGUAGAUAUCAGGAGGAACACCGAUGGCGAAGGCAGGUCUCUGGGCUGACACUGACGCUCAUGCACGAAAGCGUGGGGAGCAAACAGG
Molecule: ribosomal RNA, 253 nt
Filed under: uncultured bacterium
Lineage: Bacteria
Description: partial 16S ribosomal RNA
Rfam family: Bacterial small subunit ribosomal RNA
Source: RNAcentral